This 1259-nucleotide ribosomal RNA is filed under the name Klebsiella pneumoniae. RNAcentral's name for it is "bacterial SSU rRNA". It matches the Rfam family "Bacterial small subunit ribosomal RNA", at positions 48 to 1328 of the family's 1533-position model. The record is from RNAcentral. Lineage: Bacteria; Pseudomonadati; Pseudomonadota; Gammaproteobacteria; Enterobacterales; Enterobacteriaceae.
GCUACCAUGCAAGUCGAGCGGUAGCACAGAGAGCUUGCUCUCGGGUGACGAGCGGCGGACGGGUGAGUAAUGUCUGGGAAACUGCCUGAUGGAGGGGGAUAACUACUGGAAACGGUUGCUAAUACCGCAUAAUGUCGCAAGACCAAAGUGGGGGACCUUCGGGCCUCAUGCCAUCAGAUGUGCCCAGAUGGGAUUAGCUAGUACGUGGGGUAACGGCUCACCUAGGCAACUAUCCCUAGCUGGUCUGAGAGGAUGACCAGCCACACUGGAACUGAGACACGGUCCAGACUCCUACGGGAGGCAGCAGUGGGGAAUAUUGCACAAUGGGCGCAAGCCUGAUGCAGCCGUGCCGCGUGUGUGAAGAAGGCCUUCGGGUUGUAAAGCACUUUCUGCGGGGAGGAAGGCGUUGAGGUUAAUAACCUUGGCGAUUGACGUUACCCGCAGAAGAAGCACCGGCUAACUCCGUGCCAGCAGCCGCGGUAAUACGGAGGGUGCAAGCGUUAAUCGGAAUUACUGGGCGUAAAGCGCACGCAGGCGGUCUGUCAAGUCGGAUGUGAAAUCCCCGGGCUCAACCUGGGAACUGCAUUCGAAACUGGCGAGCUAGAGUCUUGUAGAGGGGGGUAGAAUUCCGGGUGUAGCGGUGAAAUGCGUAGAGAUCUGGAGGAAUACCGGUGGCGAAGGCGGCCCCCUGGACAAAGACGGACUCUCAUGUGCGAAAGCGUGGGGAGCACACAGGAUUAGAUACCCUGGUAGUCCACGCCAUACACUAUCUCUAUGUGGAGGUUGUGCCCUUGAGGCGUGGCUUCCGGAGCUCACGCGUUAAAUCGACCGCCGGGGGAGUACGGCCGCAGGGUUAAGACUCAUAUGAAUUGACGGGAGCCCGCACAAGCUGUGGAGCAUGUGGUUUAAUUCGAUGCAACGCGGAUAACCUUACCUGGUCUUGACAUCCACAGAACUUUCCAGAGAUGGAUUGGUGCCUUCGGGAACUGUGAGACAGGUGCUGCAGGGCUGUCUUCAGCUCGUGUUGUGAAAUGUUGGGUUAGUCCCGCAACGAGGGCACCCUUAUCCUUGUUGCCGCGGUUCGGCCGGGACUCAAAGGAGACGGCCGUGAUAACUGGAGAAAGGUGUGGAUAACAUCCAUUCUUCAGGGCCUAACAACAGGGCCACCCACUGCUACAUGGCAAAACAAGAGAACGCCUCCGCGACCACCGACCUCAAAGUUUUUUAUUCGGAAGGAAUCGCACCCCCCCCCGAAAUCG